GGGGCUGUAGCCCAGUGGCAGAGCGCUUGCCUAACAUGCAUGAGGCACUAGGUUCGAUCCUCGGCACCA
Molecule: transfer RNA, 69 nt
Filed under: Ictidomys tridecemlineatus (thirteen-lined ground squirrel)
Lineage: Eukaryota; Metazoa; Chordata; Mammalia; Rodentia; Sciuridae
Description: Spermophilus tridecemlineatus (thirteen-lined ground squirrel) tRNA
Rfam family: tRNA
About the family: Transfer RNA (tRNA) molecules are approximately 80 nucleotides in length.
Source: Rfam by way of RNAcentral